UGGGGAAUAUUGCACAAUGGGCGCAAGCCUGAUGCAGCCAUGCCGCGUGUGUGAAGAAGGCCUUCGGGUUGUAAAGCACUUUCAGCGAGGAGGAAGGUGGUGAGCUUAAUACGCUCAUCAAUUGACGUUACUCGCAGAAGAAGCACCGGCUAACUCCGUGCCAGCAGCCGCGGUAAUACGGAGGGUGCAAGCGUUAAUCGGAAUUACUGGGCGUAAAGCGCACGCAGGCGGUUUGUUAAGUCAGAUGUGAAAUCCCCGGGCUCAACCUGGGAACUGCAUUUGAAACUGGCAAGCUAGAGUCUCGUAGAGGGGGGUAGAAUUCCAGGUGUAGCGGUGAAAUGCGUAGAGAUCUGGAGGAAUACCGGUGGCGAAGGCGGCCCCCUGGACGAUGACUGACGCUCAGGUGCGAAA
Molecule: ribosomal RNA, 411 nt
Filed under: uncultured bacterium
Lineage: Bacteria
Description: partial 16S ribosomal RNA
Rfam family: Bacterial small subunit ribosomal RNA
Source: RNAcentral